This is a non-coding RNA of Cinara cedri, 302 nucleotides long. Lineage: Eukaryota; Metazoa; Arthropoda; Insecta; Hemiptera; Aphididae. The record is from the annotation of a GenBank genome assembly.
UGGAUGGCUACCACGGUGAACACAACGCAGAAGCGGAUGCUCACGUCGCGCUCGAUUCGGAUGACAACGACACCGCCAAAACGUUCGGCUCGAUGUGGUAACAACGAUUGGUCGUUAUAGAAUGGGUUACAGGAUUUUCGGUCAAGUUUAAUUUUCAAAACGAGCGUAUUCUUUGUGCACUGGACGUGUAGGUAUGUAUGUAAUUUCCAAAUUUAAUUUGCUCGCGUUGAAAACUGUGUUACGGAGUUGACUCGAGCCCUUCUUCCCCGAGACCGAACAUAUAUUGACCAUACGAAUGUACG